This 208-nucleotide long non-coding RNA is filed under the name Elaeis guineensis (African oil palm). RNAcentral's name for it is "long non-coding RNA (EGUI_LNC029210)". The record is from RNAcentral. Lineage: Eukaryota; Viridiplantae; Streptophyta; Magnoliopsida; Arecales; Arecaceae.
UUCAGUCCUAUUUUAUACACAAAAUAAAGCGGUGGAAAUUAUCUUUUAAAAGGAACCCACCAUUCCCAUUUUCUUGGACUAGACUAACAAGGAUUUUCCAUGUAGUCCCGGGUUUCGUCCCUCGCAUCACUUUUUCCUAACCGAACUUAACGCUGCUUUCUGUUUAUCCGAUGAAUUACACGCAUACAGGGGACCCAAACAGCCUCGG